Molecule: long non-coding RNA, 1040 nt
Organism: Pygoscelis adeliae (Adelie penguin)
Lineage: Eukaryota; Metazoa; Chordata; Aves; Sphenisciformes; Spheniscidae
Exons: 5
Source: RefSeq, a predicted model, not a curated record
UUUAGGUCUGUUGAGGUAGAGGUCUUUUCUCAUGAACCUCAGCUCUGGGAAGCAGAUGACAGCUUUAAGUUCCAGGAUCACCCUUUGUGCCUUGGCCAUCCUGAGCAAAUGGAGCCUUUCCCCAGCUUCUAAGAAAGGGGAAGAGAGCUCCCCUGAAGAGACCUUUUCCCUGAGCAAGGACCAAAAACAGGUGCAAGCAGGAAGCAUGGGGGAUCCCUAGAAUUAGACUGAAAGUAAAUACCCCUUUUUUAGGGGGGUAUUGAGAAGUCUCAGGGCUUCUACUGCUGGUUUCAUACAGACUGGUGGGAUGGUGGUGCUCACAGUUGCUGCCCGACUGUCCAGACUGAUAAGGUCUUCUCAGUGUGUGCACACAGGUGUCAGCUAGUGCCCCGCUGGCUGGUGUAUGUUCAUUCCCAGAGAUAUGUUUCUCACGGUGUUGACCAGAUUUCUUGGAAGGUAUGACAGCUGCAAACAGUAUCAAUGACAUCUGGGCAGAUUUCACAGCGAAAUGGGAGAUGGGAGAAUCAGUCCAGCAUCUGGUGUGACUGCAGUUGAAGCCAAGUUGGCAAACUUGGUUCAGUCUGAUUUCAUUUCACUCUUGGCCACGUUCUAGUUUGGCGUGGAGAUUACUGAUGAAGAGUUUGAGCUGCUACUUGACAGAAUCCCCCUUGAUGAAGAUGGAAAUGUCAGAUACCCCCAGUUCACGGCCAGGUUUGAUUCCUGGUAUGCAGCGUAUGCGUUUUAUUUCUCAUUUGUGAGUGGAAUUAUUUUUAAUCUAAAAGGCUCACAUAACAUUUCCAGACUGAUUCGCAUUUCUUAAAUGUGCUCCUUUAAGACGCAUUUCUUGCAUGGAGUAUGCUGAUUGAUUACAUUUAAAAUCAGCUGAUGUUAUGGGUAUAUACUGUUUAUAAUUUAGUUGCUCUUUAGAUGCUAAUUACAUAUUUUACAAGAAAGACUUCAAAGGCAUGUAACGUACCUUCGUGCUUUCUGUAGGCUGGGAAAUAUGACAGACUUCUAAAUAAAAGCUAACUAUUUCCAAA